GGGGUAGGAGGAACUAACACAGGGGUCUUUUGAAGAUGAAAAAUGUAGGGAUUAUUGGCUUCUAUCAGGGGUUUACAAAAUGAAGCCACGCUCUUAAAAUAGCUGCCUUCGGGGUUGAUUCCGUGGGUCUGACGUGGGACUCGAGCGUCCCAGGCGAUUGGGAAGUGACCUGGUCAGCGUCUGGGUCUGGCAAGCCUCUCCCCCGCGCGCUGGGGCCUCCCGUUCCCGCGUGUGAGCGAACCUCUUAGGAGGUUUGCUUUCCUUCUGGGCGAGGCUGAGCGACGUUGCCAAGACCAACACGAACUUCUCUGGACAGCAGACCAGGGUGCGAACAGCAGCCCUGCCGCUUCCUAGCCUGUGACAUUCGCCAGAGUUCCGUAGUCCCUCAGCCUCAUCGCCCCAUCCAUAAAAUGGGGUGAGUGAUGCCUAUCUUUAAGUCUGCUCCGAAGAGUAAAUUAAACAAAUAUAGAUUAUAUAUAUCAAGCACCUAGUGCCCGCAGUCAAUGGCAAUUAGCAUUAUUAUUAAUUUUAUUGUUAUUACGAACGACUAAUGACGACUCUCAGGAUUACUGCUAAUGCUACUGUGAGCAGAAAUGUGAAAAAACAGGCUCAAUUAAAAUUUUUUUCUGAGGGGAAUACUUUUAUGAGAGGUAAAUAAAGAAAGAGGAAUGACCCUGGGCGGGGAAGGGGUGCUCUGAUCCCAUUUGAUCUUCAAACAGCUUCGCAGGCAGGCGUCAGGGUCCCAUGCUAAGACGGGGAGGCAGGCCCCUGGAGGGGCAGUGACUCGCCCUGCCACACGCCGAGGUCGCGCUGGUGCCCGGACCUCCCCCCUCCCGUGCCCCUUGAGCUGCCGCCCUGCCCUUCACAGCCACCUCAGCAAAGGUGCCCCCGGGCGGGGAGUGCCUUCUGCUCUCAGGGGCCGGGCAGCUCUGGAAACUGGAUAAAGGUCACCUCCUCCAGGCAGCUUUCCUCGCUGUCUCCCUCCUCCCCUUGUAAAACGAAACCCUCCCUCUGUUGUUCUCUGGUGUCCUGACAUGUGACUGCACACCCUGGGCACAGUGUCUCUCCUCUGGGAGUGUGCUCCUCUGAGGCAGACACUGUACCCUUUUCCCGUGUGGUAGGGUCAGUCUGGCUGUGGGGUGAAAUGCACGGCCCGGCUCGGGCGGUGGCCUCACCGCUUAGAGCUGUGAGGCUUGGAAAGGUGACUUAAGCUUGCACUGCCUCUCUUUUCUUAUCCAUGAGAUGAGAUUCACAGUAAGGUCGGCCUCACGGGGUCCCUGCAAGGAUGGAUGAGUUAAUAUAGAUAAACUUCUGGAAUCUCUAAGUGGUCGACGUCCAAUGAAGGAAGGCACGAUCACUAAGAUUCUGAAUUUUGCUUAUUAACAGAAAGCGAACCGUAAAAAGAAUGUGACCAAGCACGGGGUAAGUGUCCGGGGACCUGGUUUCUCAUGCGAAUCUGUCUCCAACUUACUGUGUGGCCUUGGGCCUGUCUCUUCCACUCUCUGAGUUUAUUUCUUCUUCUGCAAAAGGAGAAGUUUGGUCCCACAGCUCGGUGGCCUUUGAAGGGUAGUUCUCUGAAUGAGAACUGAAUGGUCAGUUCUCUGCCUGUAGGACUGUCCUUGUGUAAUCUUCCGAGUUAGAGGUCAUCCUCAGAGGUAAAUGACCCCCUCAACCCCGGAAGCACGGGCUCCCCCGCCGUCGCUGUCUGUGCUAGCCACGAUUGCCGCCGGCUGUUCCUGAGCACGUACUACUGCUGGGCUUUGGACCCAGUGCCCUCAUUACCCUGUUUAUUUUCCUGAAGAAUCCUAUGGAGAAGGCGUGACUCUGAUGCUGUGUCACAGCUGAGGAAACAGGCUCAGAGGUCGGGAACAGCUGGACAGGGCGGAGGGGCCUCGCUCCUCGGACUCUGGUCCCCUGCUGCUGGCGGGAGCCCUCCCUGCAGCGCGCCUGUUGGAUGCCUCUGGGGAUGAGGAGCCUGCUACCUGUCCAGCCCGUCUGUUGCUAGGCAUCCUGAAUAGCUGAAAAGAGCAAAGCUGCCGUUUUUACAUUUGCUUCCUGAUCUUGGACUUGGACUCCAGGCAGACGUGAUUUGGGUAGAGCUUUGAGAGAAGAAAGACUAUAAAUUCCCCCAAAGGAAGGCUUCAGGAGCAGUCUACAACUGGGUGGUCAGGAGACAGAAGGCUUCGCUCUCACCUGUCAAGGCCUGGCCUAAGCCCCCACCCACAGAAUCCCCCCGGGGGAAAGAGCCGGGGCUGCGCGGGCAUUCCACCGCAGCCUUGUUUGGGAUUGGGCUGAACUCAGAGCACCAGGCAUUGUGUCUAUAAUCACCAGCUAAUUGGGGUAUGUUCCCUUGGGGGUGGUGUGUGAGGAGCACGGGCCAGGGAACACCUUGACAAACUAUUUGCAGGAAAUCUGGACUGCACACUGAAGGGAGAAAUGGGCCCCAGGAUGCCUGGCUUGGCUUGGCUUUGUUCGGUUUGCUCUCUUUCCAGAAAACAAGUAUCCUGCUUGAGUAGCUCCAGAGCCUCGUCCUUCCCAGGCUAAAGUACACACUCCUUACGGUGGCCUUCAAGGCCUUUCACAAUUGGGUCCCAACUCACCCUUUUGGCCUCUUUCCCCACCAUAUUCCUAACCCCAUUCCCUGACAGAGAAUUCCACACAGUCGCCUGCAUGCUCCAAGAUUGUUCCUGCCUCCGGGCCUUUGCGCAUGCUAUGCCCUCUGCCCUUUGGCAUGCUAACGGAUAUGACAUCUAGAUGACAACAGUCCUGUUUUAAAAUGUGUUGGACUUCCUCUUCGGCUCCCAAGACUUUUCCAAACAGUCCCUGCAAAGAGAGCAUCUUCGCUGCCCCUUUGGAACUGCAGCCAAGCACACAAUUAAACAAGUCAGGGAACGUCCAGUGGAGACACUGAGAGUUAGGGCAUUGAGUGGGUCCCCAAAGCAUUGUGGGAAAACCAGAACCUCCUAAGGCUGAAUAUCAAUGUGGUUUGGAAAAUCUUGCAUUACUACAAAACUAAUUUAAGGAUGACCCAAGAACGUGCUCCCGACUUUGAACCAUUUGUUUGCCGUGUUGAUCUUAUACUAGAUGCCAGGAACAGGACUGAAAGGCAUUGUUAGAGAGACCUCCGCAGCUUGUUCAGAAAGUCAGCGGGGUGGGGAGGCCUCACCUGGGGCAUUUGAACGGGCCGUUUCCAUCACAGGUUUCAAUGUGCAUGGAAUGAGAUUCAGAGCCCCAUUUUUCACAACGACAAAAUGUUAGCAUGAAGCAGGGUAACCACAUGAUCUUGUUUGCCCAGGAAGUUCUGGUUUCCACCCAAUGUCCUGACAUAUUUAUCAGUAGUUCCCCUUUCAUUAUCGAGUGCCCCAGUGUGGAAGAUAAAUUAUAUGUCACUCUAGCACCAGAUAACCAAACAAGAGCCUGUCUAGGGGGUUGUCUUUGUAAGAUGUUGCCACCUGUUGACACCAGUCCACUUUUCCAGAUCUAGCCUUUGUCCACUCCUCUGUGACAGAAUUAAUGUUUCGACCCAUGUGCUGCCACAGGUACUUAACCUUCAU
Molecule: long non-coding RNA, 3554 nt
Filed under: Equus caballus (horse)
Lineage: Eukaryota; Metazoa; Chordata; Mammalia; Perissodactyla; Equidae
Description: lncRNA (ENSECAG00000047710.1)
Source: RNAcentral